CAGCAGCCGCGGUAAUACGAAGGGGGCUAGCGUUGUUCGGAUUUACUGGGCGUAAAGGGCGCGUAGGCGGGCUGAUAAGUCAGGGGUGAAAUCCCAAGGCUCAACCUUGGAACUGCCUUUGAUACUGUUUGUCUUGAGUUCGAGAGAGGUAAGUGGAACUGCGAGUGUAGAGGUGAAACUCGUAGAUAUUCGCAAGAACACCAGUGGCGAAGGCGGCUUACUGGCUCGAAACUGACGCUGAGGCGCGAAAGCGUGGGGAGCAAACAGGAUUAGAUACCCCCGUAGUCCCUGUCUCUUAUAC
This 301-nucleotide ribosomal RNA is filed under the name uncultured bacterium. RNAcentral's name for it is "partial 16S ribosomal RNA". It matches the Rfam family "Bacterial small subunit ribosomal RNA", at positions 509 to 807 of the family's 1533-position model. The record is from RNAcentral.